RNAcentral lists this ribosomal RNA (222 nucleotides) under Enterococcus faecium. Its description in RNAcentral is "partial 16S ribosomal RNA". It matches the Rfam family "Bacterial small subunit ribosomal RNA", at positions 60 to 257 of the family's 1533-position model. The record is from RNAcentral. Lineage: Bacteria; Bacillati; Bacillota; Bacilli; Lactobacillales; Enterococcaceae.
UGCAGUCGAACGCUUCUUUUUCCACCGGAGCUUGCUCCACCGGAAAAAGAGGAGUGGCGAACGGGUGAGUAACACGUGGGUAACCUGCCCAUCAGAAGGGGAUAACACUUGGAAACAGGUGCUAAUACCGUAUAACAAUCAAAACCGCAUGGUUUUGAUUUGAAAGGCGCUUUCGGGUGUCGCUGAUGGAUGGACCCGCGGUGCAUUAGCUAGUUGGNGAGG